CAGCAGCCACGGUAAUACGUAGGGUGCGAGCGUUAAUCGGAAUUACUGGGCGUAAAGCGUGCGCAGGCGGUUGUGUAAGACAGGUGUGAAAUCCCCGGGCUCAACCUGGGAACUGCAUUUGUGACUGGCAAGCUAGAGUCUGGCAGAGGGGGGUGGAAUUCCGCGUGUAGCAGUGAAAUGCGUAGAUAUGCGGAGGAACACCGAUGGCGAAGGCAGCCCCCUGGGCCAACACUGACGCUCAUGCACGAAAGCGUGGGGAGCAAACAGGAUUAGAUACCCCUGUAGUCCCUGUCUCUUAUAC
RNAcentral lists this ribosomal RNA (301 nucleotides) under uncultured bacterium. RNAcentral describes it as "partial 16S ribosomal RNA". It matches the Rfam family "Bacterial small subunit ribosomal RNA", at positions 509 to 807 of the family's 1533-position model. The record is from RNAcentral.